This 491-nucleotide ribosomal RNA is filed under the name uncultured Geobacter sp. RNAcentral's name for it is "bacterial SSU rRNA". It matches the Rfam family "Bacterial small subunit ribosomal RNA", at positions 58 to 526 of the family's 1533-position model. The record is from RNAcentral. Lineage: Bacteria; Pseudomonadati; Thermodesulfobacteriota; Desulfuromonadia; Geobacterales; Geobacteraceae.
CAAGUCGAACGGAAUUAGGGGCUUGCUCCUAAUUUAKUGGCGCACGGGUGAGUAACGCGUGGAUAACCUACCCUGGWAUCUGGGAUAACAUCUCGAAAGGGGUGCUAAUACCGGAUAAGCCCMCGGGAACUUUGGUUCUUGCGGGAAAAGGKGGCCUCUAUUUAUAAGCUACUGUAUCAGGAUGGGUCCGCGUACCAUUAGCUAGUUGGUAGKGUAAUGGACUACCAAGGCUACGAUGGUUAGCUGGUCUGAGAGGAUGAUCAGCCACACUGGAACUGAGACACGGUCCAGACUCCUACGGGAGGCAGCAGUGGGGAAUUUUGCGCAAUGGGGGAAACCCUGACGCAGCAACGCCGCGUGAGUGAUGAAGGCCUUCGGGUCGUAAAGCUCUGUCAGAGGGRAAGAAGUGUAUGGGUGCUAAUACCMUCUAUACUUGACGGUACCCUCAAAGGAAGCACCGGCUAACUCCGUGCCAGCAGCCGCGGUAAUAC